Polypterus senegalus (gray bichir) is the source of this 2047-nucleotide long non-coding RNA. RefSeq lists it as uncharacterized. The record is from RefSeq and is a predicted model, not a curated record. Lineage: Eukaryota; Metazoa; Chordata; Cladistia; Polypteriformes; Polypteridae. The transcript has 3 exons.
GUCCUACCCUGAAUACCAUGAGGGCUGAUUGAGGUCAUUGAUGUCAGGACAGACUGAAGUGCACGUCAUUGGAAGAUUACAGAGGUGGUGGUGCGGACAUUAUGGUGCGAGCUUUGACAGAAUGGGGAACUGGGCAAGUUGGCAGAGGACCGGGCAAUUUAGAGACAGGCCUGCAAGAGGAAGACCUCCUGUACCUGGCUUUCCAAAGCACUCCGCAAUCAACAGACCGAGAUCAGGACAGCCAAAAGGAAAUGAAGGAAGUCCAAAGCUCUGACAGAGCUGGCUAAGUAUCAGUUCCCUCUUGCAUCUUUUUUUUCUGCUACCAUCAAUGUUAAGGGAAGGUUCUACCAGACUAGAAUUAACAGAACCACCAAUACACAUUCCAUCUCCUUUCACCUCCCUUCUUAACCCUCCUUCCCCAACUCCCCUGGCUGCUGAUUACUUUGUUUUCAGGAUAGCGAGGUUUCUAUAACCAGCCAGUUCUUGCCCUUGCUGCCACCCAUUAUGCCUCCUUCCAAGCAUCUCCCAACAUUCCCCACAUUCUCUACACUCUCUGCAACUGAUAUUUCCGACCUCCUCUCCAAUCACCCCACUACCUGACCACUUGACCCCAUUCCCUCACAGUUCCUUUUGGCCCCACCCCCUCACUCAUUUCUGUAAUUACAUACAUCAUUAACAUCUGAAUCAGCUUAGUCACAUUUCCUUCCAAUCUUUAAACACACCCUAAUAACCCCACUUUUCGAAAAAAGCAAUACUCGAUCCAUCGUAAGUUAGCAAUUACAGGCCUGUCUCUCUCCUUUUCUUUCUUUCCAAAACACUUCAACAUGCUGUUUCUAAGCAGGUUUCUUCCUUCCUUGUACAGAAUGGAUUGCUUGAUACCAACCAGUCCGGCUUCAAGAGGAACCAUUUGACUAAGAUGGCUCUUCUAACUGUGGUUGUCCAGCAACGACUUGCUAGAGCUACUAACAUGUUAUCGAUCCUGAUCCUGUUAGAUCUCUCCUCCGCCUUCGACAAAGUCAACCAUGACAUCCUUCUAUCCAUCUUCUCUGACCCUGGCAUCACUGGGACUGUUCUCAGAUGGUUUGAGUCCUAUAUCUCAGGCAGAUCCUACAGUGUGUCCUAGUGAGGAAAGUAGUCAAGGGAGCAUAAGACAUGUACAGGUGUACCCCAAGGACAGGUGCUGGGUCCUCUACUCUACCAAUCCCAUGUUUUCUCUUAUCAGUGCUAGUGAUGAUACACAGCUGUGCCUGUCAUUCUAUCCGGAGUCUCUGCAUGUCUUACUGAUAUCUCAACCUGGAUGAAAGACCACCAUCUACAGUUCAAACAGGCAAAAACUGAGUUUCUUAUGAUCCUGCCCAGCCAGUCUGUUCAACUCCCCAUCUCUGUAAAGCUUGGCUCACUGUUACUAACACCUGCCAAGUCAGUACUCAACCUUGCGGUAGUGAUUGAAGAGCAGCUAACGUUUUCUGAGCACAUUUCUACUACUUCUCAUUCUUGCAGUUUCAUGCUAUAAAACGUCCACAAGAUAAGACUUUAUCUGACAGUGUAUGGGAUACGACUUCUGGUCCAGGCUUUGGUCUUGUCACGUCUUAAACUACUGCAACUCACUUCUAGCAGAAGUACCUGCGCAUGCUAUCAAGCCACUGAAAAUGAUCCAGAAUGCAAUAGUCUGUCUUGUAUUUAACCAGCUGUGACGAGCACAUGCCCCCCCUCUCUUCAGGUUGCUACACUGACACCCUGUAGCAGCACACAUUAAGUUCAAAUCCCUGAUGCUUGCCUACAGAGUAGUUAAUGGGUCAGCACCUGAGUAUAUGGAGACACUAAUGAAGUCCUAUACUCCUCACCCACUCAGGUCUUCCAGGGAAUAGCAUCUGGCGAUGCUGCCUCUGCAAUGGUAUUAAUCCAGACUCUUAUCCUGUGGAGUUCCUAGAUGACGAAAUGUGCUACCCACCACCAUCCAUACUGCUGAUUCCCUUAUUGUAUUCAAGAAGCAAUUGAAAAUGCAUCUGUUAUAUGAUAGAAGAAAAAAAAACUUUGCUCUGUGAUA